This is a long non-coding RNA of Etheostoma spectabile (orangethroat darter), 147 nucleotides long. RefSeq lists it as uncharacterized. The record is from RefSeq and is a predicted model, not a curated record. The transcript has 3 exons. Lineage: Eukaryota; Metazoa; Chordata; Actinopteri; Perciformes; Percidae.
AUGUUUCUUAUUUAUUUGUUCAAUGGAAUCAGUUAAAAACAAACUUAUCAACCGAUUAUUAAAACAUUGGAAUCAUGUUGAACUAAUCUAACAGAAUACAAAGAUAAACAUGUUCAGACAUCACGUUGAAGAAUUCAUAGUCAGUGU